UGUAGCUCAGUUGAUAGAGUCCUUGCCUAGCAUGCAUGAAGCCCUGGGUUUGAUCCCCAGCA
This 62-nucleotide transfer RNA is filed under the name Cricetulus griseus (Chinese hamster). Lineage: Eukaryota; Metazoa; Chordata; Mammalia; Rodentia; Cricetidae. The record is from Rfam by way of RNAcentral.